UAAGCGCUGGAAACGGCGUCUAAUACUGGAUAUGAGCCUCUUCCGCAUGGUGGGGGUUGGAAAGAUUUUUUGGUCUGGGAUGGGCUCGCGGCCUAUCAGCUUGUUGGUGAGGUAAUGGCUCACCAAGGCGUCGACGGGUAGCCGGCCUGAGAGGGUGACCGGCCACACUGGGACUGAGACACGGCCCAGACUCCUACGGGAGGCAGCAGUGGGGAAUAUUGCACAAUGGGCGAAAGCCUGAUGCAGCAACGCCGCGUGAGGGAUGACGGCCUUCGGGUUGUAAACCUCUUUUAGCAGGGAAGAAGCGAAAGUGACGGUACCUGCAGAAAAAGCGCCGGCUAACUACGUGCCAGCAGCCGCGGUAAUACGUAGGGCGCAAGCGUUAUCCGGAAUUAUUGGGCGUAAAGAGCUCGUAGGCGGUUUGUCGCGUCUGCUGUGAAAUCCCGAGGCUCAACCUCGGGCCUGCAGUGGGUACGGGCAGACUAGAGUGCGGUAGGGGAGAUUGGAA
This 508-nucleotide ribosomal RNA is filed under the name Microbacterium testaceum. RNAcentral's name for it is "bacterial SSU rRNA". It matches the Rfam family "Bacterial small subunit ribosomal RNA", at positions 144 to 666 of the family's 1533-position model. Lineage: Bacteria; Bacillati; Actinomycetota; Actinomycetes; Micrococcales; Microbacteriaceae. The record is from RNAcentral.